Ostrinia furnacalis (Asian corn borer) is the source of this 873-nucleotide long non-coding RNA. RefSeq lists it as uncharacterized. The transcript has 3 exons. The record is from RefSeq and is a predicted model, not a curated record. NCBI's taxonomy places the organism in Eukaryota, Metazoa, Arthropoda, Insecta, Lepidoptera, Crambidae.
AAAGCUGUGAGUUUUCAAAUCUCCAACCAACUUUCAACAUGUUCACAUUAUAAAAGGAUCAAGAACCGGAGAUAACUGCGUUUAGGUUUCUCGAAGGUCUGCACGUCGACCUUGUUGCGGAUCACAUCUUCACUGCAGUUCCAGGUGAUACCGUCAACUUUCCUUAUGUCAUCAGUUUUUCUUUUCAGACUUUCUUCGUUUCCUUUCCGUUGACUUACUUUACCAUCUUCUCUCAUUGCCUUGACCAAAUCGUCAUUAUUAGUAGUCGACUUUUGCAAUUCAAACCCUUCUUUUCCUAACAUUAUGUUCAUCCCUCUGUAAAGUUGAAUCCCCUGAUCGUUAGUUCCGCAACCCAUCAUGAGAUCGUCCACAUAAAAAUCUGACAAUAUCUUUUCAGCCGCCGUUGGAGAAACUUCACCGUGAUCCAAAUUCAUGCUAACAUAUUCAUUAGAAACCUCUAUGUAUUUCUGUUUCAGGUCACCGUUCUUCAGUCUUCGUUCUAAUGAAUACAUUCUUUUUUCAGGUAUCUGCACAGAAUUCUUCACAUCGGGAUCUUCGUUCUUCACCGGAAGACGACGCAUAAUGUAUCGACCAGUGUCAUCUCUACGAGUAGUUCUGAGGGCUUCAUAGGCGUGUGAACAACGCCAGACAGAAUCCACCCCAAUGACGAACACUGAGCAAGUGGUGAACCAAGCGGUCCCUUGAUGACUCCGUUUUGAAUAACCCGGCUAUAUACUUCUGACCCCAACAACAAAUCUACACUGUUAGAAGUAUAAUAGCUCGGAUCCGCGAGGACAAGAUCCUGAAGUUCCUUCCAUUCCUCCGCUCUUAUUUUCCGGUUAGGUAAAAGCGUUGUGAUGGACCCUAGUACGU